GACGAACGCUGGCGGCGUGCUUAACACAUGCAAGUCGAACGGAAAGGCCCUGCUUUUGUGGGGUGCUCGAGUGGCGAACGGGUGAGUAACACGUGAGUAACCUGCCCUUGACUUUGGGAUAACUUCAGGAAACUGGGGCUAAUACCGGAUAGGAGCUCCUGCUGCAUGGUGGGGGUUGGAAAGUUUCGGCGGUUGGGGAUGGACUCGCGGCUUAUCAGCUUGUUGGUGGGGUAGUGGCUUACCAAGGCUUUGACGGGUAGCCGGCCUGAGAGGGUGACCGGCCACAUUGGGACUGAGAUACGGCCCAGACUCCUACGGGAGGCAGCAGUGGGGUAUAUUGCACAAUGGGCGGAAGCCUGAUGCAGCAACGCCGCGUGCGGGAUGACGGCCUUCGGGUUGUAGACCGCUUUCGCCUGUGACGAAGCGUGAGUGACGGUAAUGGGUAAAGAAGCACCGGCUAACUACGUG
Molecule: ribosomal RNA, 468 nt
Filed under: uncultured bacterium
Lineage: Bacteria
Description: partial 16S ribosomal RNA
Rfam family: Bacterial small subunit ribosomal RNA
Source: RNAcentral